This 73-nucleotide transfer RNA is filed under the name Ovis aries (sheep). It matches the Rfam family "tRNA". From Rfam's summary of the family: Transfer RNA (tRNA) molecules are approximately 80 nucleotides in length. Their secondary structure includes four short double-helical elements and three loops (D, anti-codon, and T loops). Further hydrogen bonds mediate the characteristic L-shaped molecular structure. tRNAs have two regions of fundamental functional importance: the anti-codon, which is responsible for specific mRNA codon recognition, and the 3' end, to which the tRNAs corresponding amino acid is attached (by aminoacyl-tRNA synthetases). tRNAs cope with the degeneracy of the genetic code in two manners: having more than one tRNA (with a specific anti-codon) for a particular amino acid; and 'wobble' base-pairing, i.e. permitting non-standard base-pairing at the 3rd anti-codon position. The record is from Rfam by way of RNAcentral. Lineage: Eukaryota; Metazoa; Chordata; Mammalia; Artiodactyla; Bovidae.
UCCCUGACAGUCCAGCAGUUAAGACUCAGAGUUUCUGCUUCAGGGGGCACAGGUUCAAUUCCUGAUCGGGGAA